This 585-nucleotide non-coding RNA is filed under the name unclassified sequences. RNAcentral describes it as "ROOL RNA". It matches the Rfam family "ROOL RNA". From Rfam's summary of the family: Firmicutes, Fusobacteria (1 example), Tenericutes (1 example). Environment (Cow rumen (57)) The record is from Rfam by way of RNAcentral.
GUAUAAUGAUGCAAUAAUCGGCAACUCAGUGAAGAGGGUUUAGUCAGCCUUGCUGAGAACGGUUUGAAUGCAAAGUCUUGUUUAUAUGGGAUACUGUAUAAUUAAGGCUUCUUGUUGAUAGUGAUUGAUACAGGGUAAAGACAGAGGUCUUAAGUGCAAGAACCGGUUGCCGGUCUAUAUGAGCAAAUAGUAAAUCCAACGAGUCGGAGCGAUAAUUGAGGAGAUUCACAGCAAUGGGAAUCAAUGCGGCUCUUAAGUGCUAUAUGGGGACAUAUAGAUUACUGAGAGUAAUUCCAAAACAAGCUCUUGCCAAUGAACCGGAGAAAUCCGGCUAUAAGACAAAACAGGAUUGUGCGAGUACCACAAGGCGUUCUUUUACAAGAAUAUUUUUGGUAAAUAUUUUAAUGAAAAUGCUGAAUGACGUGGGAAAGUUGGGGGUAUCAUUCCCCUCAGAGCAUUGGGCGAAAGCCGGGGCGUACAGGUUAGGACGACGGUCCGAAGCUUCAGGUAUGUCUCCUCUGUGACAGAAUAUUGCGUAGUAUAGGUUUGGGUAGGGCGAAGGUCCGCCGAUUAUUGUUUUUUUUA